GCUGGCCGAGGCGGCGAAGGCGGCGCGUCGGGGCGGCGGCGACCGGCGGGAAGGGGCGCCCGGGCACGGAGGGUGUCGGCGGGAGGGUUUCCAGGCGGCGGCGGUGCAGGAGGGAGGUCACGAGUGGGUCACGGCCAGGGCUCGGUCUGGGCUGGCAGAUGUGGCCCGGGGCGGCAGCGGCGGCGCAGGCGACGGCGACGGUUGGCGGGGAAGGUCGCCGGAGCACGGGGCGACACCGAGGGAGGGUCCGAAGGUGGCAGCAGUCUCGGGCCUCCACACAACCCGAGAGGAAAGAGGAAGAGAGAAAGAGAGGGAAGAAGAUGGAGAGUGGUGGCUGUCGCGUGGUUGGCCGGCCGGGGCUUGAUCGGCGGCGGCCAGGGCACGCGCAGCAAGUGCAGGGAAGAGGUAGGAGGCGG
This 416-nucleotide long non-coding RNA is filed under the name Ananas comosus (pineapple). RNAcentral's name for it is "long non-coding RNA (ACOM_LNC039530)". The record is from RNAcentral. Lineage: Eukaryota; Viridiplantae; Streptophyta; Magnoliopsida; Poales; Bromeliaceae.